This 468-nucleotide ribosomal RNA is filed under the name uncultured bacterium. RNAcentral describes it as "partial 16S ribosomal RNA". It matches the Rfam family "Bacterial small subunit ribosomal RNA", at positions 28 to 507 of the family's 1533-position model. The record is from RNAcentral.
GACGAACGCUGGCGGCGUGCUUAACACAUGCAAGUCGAACGGUGAAGCUCCAGCUUGCUGGAGUGGAUCAGUGGCGAACGGGUGAGUAACACGUGAGCAACCUGCCCCUGACUCUGGAAUAAGCGCUGGAAACGGCGUCUAAUACUGGAUACGAGAAGGGUCCGCAUGGGCACUUUCUGGAAAGUUUUUCGGUUGGGGAUGGGCUCGCGGCCUAUCAGCUUGUUGGUGAGGUAAUGGCUCACCAAGGCGACGACGGGAAGCCGGCCUGAGAGGGCGACCGGCCACACUGGGACUGAGACACGGCCCAGACUCCUACGGGAGGCAGCAGUGGGGAAUAUUGCACAAUGGGCGAAAGCCUGAUGCAGCGACGCCGCGUGAGGGAUGACGGCCUUCGGGUUGUAAACCUCUUUCAGCAGGGAAGAAGCGAAAGUGACGGUACCUGCAGAAGAAGCACCGGCUAACUACGUG